UAGGGAAUCUUCGGCAAUGGGGGGAACCCUGACCGAGCAACGCCGCGUGAGUGAAGAAGGUUUUCGGAUCGUAAAGCUCUGUUGUUAAGGAAGAACGAGUGUGAGAAUGGAAAGUUCAUGCUGUGACGGUACUUAACCAGAAAGGGACGGCUAACUACGUGCCAGCAGCCGCGGUAAUACGUAGGUCCCGAGCGUUGUCCGGAUUUAUUGGGCGUAAAGCGAGCGCAGGCGGUUAGAAAAGUCUGAAGUGAAAGGCAGUGGCUCAACCAUUGUAGGCUUUGGAAACUGUUUAACUUGAGUGCAGAAAGGGAGAGUGGAAUUCCAUGUGUAGCGGUGAAAUGCGUAGAUAUAUGGAGGAACACCGGUGGCGAAAGCGGCUCUCUGGUCUGUAACUGACGCUGAGGCUCGAAAGCGUGGGGAGCGAACAGG
RNAcentral lists this ribosomal RNA (429 nucleotides) under Bacteroidota bacterium. RNAcentral's name for it is "Bacteroidetes bacterium partial 16S ribosomal RNA". It matches the Rfam family "Bacterial small subunit ribosomal RNA", at positions 355 to 776 of the family's 1533-position model. The record is from RNAcentral. Lineage: Bacteria; Pseudomonadati; Bacteroidota.